Molecule: non-coding RNA, 23 nt
Filed under: Cricetulus griseus (Chinese hamster)
Lineage: Eukaryota; Metazoa; Chordata; Mammalia; Rodentia; Cricetidae
Source: RNAcentral
AGGAAGUCAGGUUAGGAACUCAA